This 2336-nucleotide ribosomal RNA is filed under the name Triticum aestivum (bread wheat). RNAcentral describes it as "partial small subunit ribosomal RNA". Lineage: Eukaryota; Viridiplantae; Streptophyta; Magnoliopsida; Poales; Poaceae. The record is from RNAcentral.
GGCCAACAUAAGCUCGUGAUUUGCAGAAGAUGUUUAAGGUAGUUUACCCAGGCUAGUUUUAAGGGGCCAGCAGCCACAUCAGAUCAAUCAGAUCAGAUGUUAUCAUAGGGCUCAGGACUAGUCUCAUGGGAAGCAAGGCAUCAGUAGUCUGAUGCCUAGUGUUUCCCAGUUAGUCCUUGUACAAUGGUGGGUGUUUAUGCCAGCUGCUUACAGAAAAAAAGACUAGCGUUGCCUCGCAAAUAAACGUGGUCUCGCAAUGUAGAGGCGCUAGUCAGAGGUGCUUCGGUUGUGUUAACGUUGGUGUAGCUCUCUCCAACGUUGGGAUGCUACACAACUAAAAUAACGCUCGCAGCCCAGAUCCUCCACUAAAAUAAUGCUCACUCGCUCAGCUCCCUCCUCACGCUAUCCUCUCAUCGCCUUCUAUAUCCCGACCACACACAAUACUCCCAAAAUCACGCCGACGGCAACUCCGUAACAGCACCGAUUUUGAAGCACACCUCCGCCCCCUUCCUCUGCCGCUCCCAUGGCGCGGCUUCCUCCUCAAGCUGCCCGGCGCUGCUUCGCCGGUGGCGCAGCCGCAGGAGUCCAACGGGCGGGGGUCCAGGCGGUGCUCGACGAUGCAGCCGGCGUUGGGGAGGAGUCGCGUCAGGUAACGCCAGAGGUGAAGGACCUAGUCCAGGUGAUUCUCGACGAGCCGUGUGCAUAGGGGAGCAGGAUAUGUCUUCUACCUGAGGUGUGGAGGGAAGACGAGAAGGGUGUGGAGGGCGAGGUCGCUGCCGGAGCUCUGCCGGACUGAGGUUGAUUUGGUGUUGCAUUUUCAGCUAGUAGCUCGAUUUGUGCAUCUGCGUCUGCCACAUGGAGAGGCUUCCCUUGCUGCUGUUGUUUCCCAACGUGUUCUGAUUCUUGAUCUUUGUUCGGCCUAAACAUCAAUAUUUAUUCUAUCCUAUUUGCUAUCCUUUCAGGUCUGGGGAUGGGGUUGUUGGAUGAAGGGAGGAGGAGCUGGCAAAGGGCUGCAGGUGGACAAGGAUAUAUGUAGAGGAGAAAACGGGCACACCUGAUGAUGAUGAUGUAGCACGUGAGAUUCAAGAAGAAACAAGGCCACCAGGGAGAAAUAUUGCGAAGGACAAAAGGAAUGGAAAAGGUAAAAUUCCAUCUGAAUUUUCUUCAGGUCUUCCUCAUGAUGACAUGCAAUUGUAUUAUGAUACAACUGUCUACGAGCCUCCACAAAAGAGAAGAUACACGAUGUCCAGCUUCAGGUCUGCAAGGAUAAACGUGUUGCAGCCGAAGCACGGGAGAGGACCGCAAUAAUAAGAAAAGAACAAGCCAGUAUGGAGAAGUACAUGGAACUGUUGAUGGCCAACAAGCUGUAAUGUCUGACUUUCAAAGGGCGGAACAUCAGAGGGGGCUAGAAUUUUUCCACGAUAAAGUGAUGGGUUCGGGAUACAGCAGCUGAGCCGUAGUCAUCAUUUCUUUUGUACUUUGUUUAGAUCAACAGAAAUAAUGUAAUUAGAUUUUUGUUUCAUUCUUCAUUUUUGUAAUAAAAACAUUGAAGAAUAAAGUCUCUGUUACUUUACCAUUACUUCUUGAGGAAUUUUUGGCAAUUUUUACUGUCUUGUGCACACAAACUUGUUGUGGAUCUCCCUGUACAUGCGUGCACUCCUACUCCCACUCACGUGCAGGUUCAGGAAGUAGUUGAGAUUUACUUUUUGAAGUAAUAAAGAGGUUGAGAUGUUGGAGGAGACGGCUAACAACCUAAAAAUACAAGAGAAACAACCAAACAAACUUACUAGACGUGAGAAACAGACUAACAACAUCUUAUCAGAUCCAUUCAUACGAACCCUCCUAAAUCUCAAACAGAGAUGUAUUCCUCCAGCGAUAGUGCAUCUGAUGACAACGUCUUCGAAGAUCCCAUUGUGCAGCAGAUGGAUGAGGAUUUCGAUGAGCGUUUUGCUCGCACAAUUGAUGCUCAAAUCAAAGCUCAAGUUUUGGGCCCCAGUCAGUGGCGGCGCCGGCGGCGCCGGUGCAACAGUAAAAGGAGGUACCUUGACCGAGGAUGUGUGGCAGGCAAUGCUCGUCUCAUUAAAGACUACUUCUCAGAAGUACCAACAUACACUGAAGCCAUGUUCCGUCACCAAUACUACUUUCUCUCUAGUUCUCAUCUCAACUGAACUUGUUGUGUUGGUUACUUAUCCUGAUUGGAUCAACACAGGAACCGAAUGAGAAAGCAUGUAUUUAGGCGCAUCGUUGAAGCUCUUGAAAAUUGGUCUCCUUUUUUCACGCAGAGAAGCGAUGUUGUAGGCCACAUAGGGUUCUCCCCUCUGCAAAAGUGCUCGGCG